AGCUGCUCCAGGAGAAGGAGUCGAGUCAUGUCCAGCAGCUGCAGGUCCUGCAGACUGUGGUGUGUGAGAAAGACGUUCGUUUCCAAGAGCAGAUUCAGAAACACGAAGAGGAACUGUUGAGGCUCACGAACCAGAACCAGAACGAGAUGCAGCAGACUCUGCAGGCGGCCCAGCAGAGGUGCCACGAGCUGGAGGCGGCUUUAAGCUCUCGCUCUCUGGAGCUGGAGAUGCUGCAGCAGGAAGUGAACAGUGCAGAUCAGCAGAAACAGAUCCUGACGGCUCAGUUCCGGCAGAUGGACCAGGAGCUGG
Oryzias melastigma (Indian medaka) is the source of this 309-nucleotide long non-coding RNA. RefSeq lists it as uncharacterized. Lineage: Eukaryota; Metazoa; Chordata; Actinopteri; Beloniformes; Adrianichthyidae. The record is from RefSeq and is a predicted model, not a curated record. The transcript is spliced from 4 exons.